Molecule: long non-coding RNA, 1654 nt
Filed under: Gallus gallus (chicken)
Lineage: Eukaryota; Metazoa; Chordata; Aves; Galliformes; Phasianidae
Description: lncRNA (ENSGALG00010017864.1)
Source: RNAcentral
UUCCGGAUGAUCGUUUGGAUCCGGAUUUUGUGCCUGUGCCUCUGGGACAACCCAGAGGCCCUGCUGGUGAAUCAGCAGAACAGAAUCCUGCCUCUGAGCCUGAAGGGGAUGCUGGAGAUGUGACUGGAGGAGGUGAUCCAGGUUCCGCUCUGAGCUCUGGGACUGAAACUCCGGCAGAUCGCAUGGGAGUGCCCCCAGGGAGGGCUUUGCCCGGUCAUGUGUUUCCUCCUGCGCUGGAGCCCAGCUGGAAUCCCAGCGGUCCGGAAAAAGGAAAGGAUGAACCCAAAAGAGGAGAAUACUCCCAGGGCUCAUCCCGUCUCCUCAAGGAACUGGUGAAGGAAAUGGAGAAGGCAGCGCGUGGAACUGACCAACAAAGUGAGCAGGAUGCACUGCAGGAAGGCAGCCAUCCCACACUGCCAGUCUCGGGCAAAGGAACGCAGGCAGCGCCAACAACUGUCAUGCCAGGGAUGAAUGCCGGGACGAGCACAAAGGCUGCUGUUGGCAGAUCUGCGCGAAAGGCGCCACAUCGCAGCGAUGGUACUGUUCUCAGCUGUGCUGCUGUCUGCGCUGGUGCUGGCCUGUGGUGCUGUGAUAUGGAUGUGCCAAAAAUACGUGUGAGUUGGCUUUUCCCCAGAACACUUUAUUGCUGCAUUUGGCAACGAAGCAUUUGUGGUGCCAGGAUCCUGGGCGGCCAGAUCAGUUGCUGGCAGUACACGGCCAGGACUUAUGUUGCCAAGUCUUUCAAGUUUCCCCUUAUUUCCUGUCAGUGAGUAGUGCUUUCUGAAACUCAUUCUCACAGAGUGUGCAAGAGAGAAGAGAGAGCAGCAGAGCAGGCUCAUCCUGAUACCAACUAGGAGAGAGUUCCAACUGGAGACGAGGGCAGAACGGAGCUGGGAGAGGCAGCCGAAGAGACUCUUGCCCCAUCAAAGAAGAAUCUCAGCCAUCGUCCCAGUGCAUUCCAUUCUGCCAUCCAAGAGGCCAAAGGUCUUCAAAGUCAUCUGGAAGACUUGGAGCUUGAACUCAAAGCCGUGAAAGAGGUCCACGGGAACAGUCCUGAGUGCUGCUUUCUGUCAGGGGACGGCCCUGAAAGUGAGAGCGGAGAACCAGCAGCAGAGCUUUUGUCCUUCACCCUGCAUUCUCUGGGACAAGCAUCAGCAACAUUUCAAAGAUUCUUAGCUCGGCAUAGCUACAAUCCUGUUGAGGGUCCUAAUGAGGAGCCAGAAAGCGAGCUUCCUCUGACCGCUGGACAACACCUUAACGUCUUUGGAGCUGUGGAUGAGAAUGUCUGGUUUCAGGGAGAGCUGACAGAUGGCACAAGAGGACUGGUCCCAUCCAGUUUGGUUGCGGAGGUUUCAGAUGAUGAACUGGAUACAACGAUGCCUCCGGAGCUCUGUGCUCUCCUGCUGGAUACUUGAUGAAUAAGUGGAUGCAGAGAUUCCAUCAUGCAGCAACAUCCUGUCAAAAUUCCUGCGUUACUCCAUCUGCAAGACUACCCCCUGCUCCACUUGAUGUUCAGGUGGAGUGUGUGCAGGACGUGGAUGAGCUCCUUUGGGAACACUCUGAGGUGACUGACAGUGUAACUGCAUAGUCUUGUGGUAUAUUAAACAAACAAACAAACAAACACCACCCACAAUAAAACAACCAACCAACCAAC